AGAGUUUGAUCAUGGCUCAGGAUGAACGCUAGCGGCAGGCUUAACACAUGCAAGUCGAACGGUAACAGAAGAGCUUGCUCUUGCUGACGAGUGGCGAACGGGUGCGUAACGCGUAUACAACUUACCUCUAAUUAAGGAAUAGCUCAGAGAAAUUUGAAUUAAUACCUUAUAAUAUCUAAAUAUCGCAUGAUAUUAAGAUUAAAGUUUUUCGAUUAGAGGUGGGUAUGCGUGAUAUUAGCUAGUUGGUGAGGUAAUGGCUUACCAAGGCAACGAUAUCUAGGGGGUCUGAGAGGAUGAUCCCCCACACUGGUACUGAGACACGGACCAGACUCCUACGGGAGGCAGCAGUGAGGAAUAUUGGACAAUGGGCGAAAGCCUGAUCCAGCCAUGCCGCGUGCAGGAUGAAUGCCCUAUGGGUUGUAAACUGCUUUUAUAUAGGAAGAAACCUCUUUAUUCAUAAAGAGCUGACGGUACUAUAAGGAUAAGCAUCGGCUAACUCCGUGCCAGCAGCCGCGGUAAUACGGAGGAUGCAAGCGUUAUCCGGAUUUAUUGGGUUUAAAGGGUUCGUAGGCGGAAAAAUAAGUCAGUGGUGAAAGCCUGCAGCUUAACUGUAGAAUUGCCAUUGAUACUGUUUUUCUUGAAUAUAUAUGAAGUAGGCGGAAUGCGUCAUGUAGCGGUGAAAUGCACAGAUAUGACGCAGAACACCGAUAGCGAAGGCAGCUUACUAAUGUAUUAUUGACGCUGAGGAACGAAAGCAUGGGGGAGCGAACAGGAUUAGAUACCCUGGUAGUCCAUGCCGUAAACUAUGAUUACUCGAUAUUAGCUAUGCUAGUGUCUAAGCGAAAGUGAUAAGUAAUCCACCUGGGGAGUACGAUCGCAAGAUUGAAACUCAAAGGAAUUGACGGGGGCCCGCACAAGCGG
This 921-nucleotide ribosomal RNA is filed under the name uncultured bacterium. RNAcentral describes it as "bacterial SSU rRNA". It matches the Rfam family "Bacterial small subunit ribosomal RNA", at positions 8 to 932 of the family's 1533-position model. The record is from RNAcentral.